AACGAACGCUGGCGGCAGGCCUAACACAUGCAAGUCGAGCGGACCCUUCGGGGUUAGCGGCCGACGGGUGAGUAACGCGUGGGAAUAUGCCCUUCUCUACGGAAUAGUCCUGGGAAACUGGGGGUAAUACCGUAUACGCCCUUUGGGGGAAAGAUUUAUCGGGGAAGGAUUAGCCCGCGUUGGAUUAGGUAGUUGGUGGGGUAAUGGCCUACCAAGCCGACGAUCCAUAGCUGGUUUGAGAGGAUGAUCAGCCACACUGGGACUGAGACACGGCCCAGACUCCUACGGGAGGCAGCAGUGGGGAAUCUUAGACAAUGGGGGCAACCCUGAUCUAGCCAUGCCGCGUGAGUGAUGAAGGCCUUAGGGUUGUAAAGCUCUUUCAGCUGGGAAGAUAAUGACGGUACCAGCAGAAGAAGCCCCGGCUAACUCCGUG
Molecule: ribosomal RNA, 433 nt
Filed under: uncultured bacterium
Lineage: Bacteria
Description: partial 16S ribosomal RNA
Rfam family: Bacterial small subunit ribosomal RNA
Source: RNAcentral